Molecule: ribosomal RNA, 788 nt
Filed under: uncultured bacterium
Lineage: Bacteria
Description: bacterial SSU rRNA
Rfam family: Bacterial small subunit ribosomal RNA
Source: RNAcentral
ACGAGGAAGGGAUUCGUCCCGAGUAUGAGUGGCGGACGGGUGAGUAACACGUGGAUAAUCUGCCCUUCGGUGGGGAAUAACCAGUCGAAAGAUUGGCUAAUACCGCAUAAGACCACAAGAGCUGCGGCUCAAGGGGUUAAAGGUUUUUCGCCGAUGGAUGAGUCCGCGUCCGAUUAGCUAGUUGGUGAGGUAAUGGCUCACUAAGGCUUUGAUCGGUAGCUGGUCUGAGAGGAUGACCAGUCACACUGGAACUGAGACACGGUCCAGACUCCUACGGGAGGCAGCAGUAGGGAAUUUUGCACAAUGGACGAAAGUCUGAUGCAGCGACGCCGCGUGAGUGAUGAAGGCCUUCGGGUUGUAAAGCUCUGUUCUAGGGGAAAAAGUUCUGAUGGUACCCUAGAAGAAAGGAUCGGCUAACUUCGUGCCAGCAGCCGCGGUAAGACGAGGGAUCCAAGCGUUGUUCGGAAUCAUUGGGCGUAAAGCGGGAGUAGGUGGUUGGACAUGUCAGAAGUGAAAGCCCUGGGCUUAACCCAGGAAGUGCUUUUGAAACUGUUCAACUUGAGUGCCGGAGAGGUUGCUAGAAUACCUGGUGUAGUGGUGAAAUACGUAGAUAUCAGUGGAAUUCCGGAGAGGAAGCUGGGUAACUGGCCGGACACUGACACUCAUCCCCGAAAGCGUGGGGAUCAAACACGAUUAGAUACCCUGGUAGUCCACGCCGUAACGAUGGAUACUGGUGUUGGAGGUAUUGACCCCUUCAGUGCCGAGCUACGCGUAGUAUCCCGCCUGGG